This 164-nucleotide ribosomal RNA is filed under the name Acaena argentea. RNAcentral's name for it is "5.8S ribosomal RNA". It matches the Rfam family "5.8S ribosomal RNA". Rfam says of the family: 5.8S ribosomal RNA (5.8S rRNA) is a component of the large subunit of the eukaryotic ribosome. It is transcribed by RNA polymerase I as part of the 45S precursor that also contains 18S and 28S rRNA. The record is from RNAcentral. Lineage: Eukaryota; Viridiplantae; Streptophyta; Magnoliopsida; Rosales; Rosaceae.
UAAACGACUCUCGGCAACGGAUAUCUCGGCUCUCGCAUCGAUGAAGAACGUAGCGAAAUGCGAUACUUAGUGUGAAUUGCAGAAUCCCGUGAACCAUCGAGUCUUUGAACGCAAGUUGCGCCCGAAGCCGUUAGGCCGAGGGCACGUCUGCCUGGGCGUCACAC